This is a long non-coding RNA of Hemicordylus capensis (graceful crag lizard), 1346 nucleotides long. RefSeq lists it as uncharacterized. The record is from RefSeq and is a predicted model, not a curated record. Lineage: Eukaryota; Metazoa; Chordata; Lepidosauria; Squamata; Cordylidae. The transcript has 2 exons.
GCCAGCCAGGAAGGAGGAGGCAGCCAGAGUGUUCUCUGCAGCAGAAGACCCCUUGCUGCACUGCUUAACCCAGACCAGCAUUUGCCAGAAGAAGGCUGCUUAAAAUUGUGAAACUGGCUUCUCGGAUGAUGAUCCUGCCGCCUAGGAAUUUGAAAUAUCUGCCCAGACCUGACCUACUCUUACCUCUAGUGCUGAAUUACCUGGGAAGAUUCCUGAUACUUCUAGCAGUCAAACAACACAGAUGUGACAAAGCAGACAAUAAACUCUGCUCUCCCCCAUUGCCUUCUGCUGGGUGUGACCCAAAGAGGAAAUACCAAAAUACCACCAGAAAGCCUAUUCCCACAGUGUGCUGCCUAAUCAAAACCAGGAGACCUCUUGUCUCUGUCCCUGAAAAGGGCUGUUCUAGUUCCCAGAUUUUUGGAUCAAAGAGGAAUCAGAUGAACCCCAGAUAGUCAACAUUCCUCUUGACUGAACCUCUCAUUCUUGGUGAGGAAGCACUCACAAGAAUGGUGAUCCAAACUCCAGAGAACAGACCUCACAGUUCACAAUAUUGUUUGUUUGCCGUUACCAUUGCCAAAUGGGGCCUUGUCAGUGGAAAUCAGCAAGCUGAGGAGAAGCACAGCAAGUCCACCUUCCCUGCUCUUGUGCUAUGAAAAAGAUCAAGCUUUUAAAAGAAACAAGUCCUCCCACCUGGAACCACAGGUAGCAAUUGUGCUGGCAACUUCAGACUAUGUACAUCUGGCUCACAGCUUAAUGACUUAAACAAGAGGUGCCUGGUGCCACCAAAUCUGCCCUGCCACAUAAACCCAGAGGAACUCCUCUCAGAGAGGAGAGCUGGUCUUGUGGUAGCAAGCAUGACUUGUCCCCUUAGCAAAGCAGGGUCCGCCCCGGUUGCAUAUGAAAGGGAGAAUAGAAGUGUGAGCACUGCAAGAUAUCCCCUUAGGGGAUGGAGCCGCUCUGGGAAGAGCAGAAGGUCCCAAGUUCCCUCCCUGGCUUCUCCAAGAUAGGACAAGAUUUUUUUUUAAUAGGACAAGAUUUUUUUAUUGAACCAACAAACUACCAAACCAUACAGUACGUUACCAAAGCACAAUUAUAUACAAAGUGGUUGUUUGUGCAUGAUAUAUCUACAAAGAUUUACACACAAGGAUUUGGAAACACACAAGUUAUGAAGUAUAUGCAGGUAGUACUGUAACUCGGGGUGGGGGAUUUCAAGGCACAUCAGGUAAUCGGGGUGUGUGUGUGUGUGUGUUACAUCCAACGUCCAUUUCCACAAUUUGUCCCAUUGCUGUUUAGAAGAAAUAUUAUUGUCUUUUUGCACAUAACCAUACAAACUUUUCCAGAAGAGA